AGGUCAUGACGCGGGCACAAUCUUAUCAUAUAUUUGUACCUUUUCCAAGCGUCAAAGAGACAUUCUCCAUCAACUUGUUGUAAACAAGUGAUUUGAUUUUUAAAACA
Molecule: small nucleolar RNA, 107 nt
Organism: Lathyrus oleraceus (garden pea)
Lineage: Eukaryota; Viridiplantae; Streptophyta; Magnoliopsida; Fabales; Fabaceae
Source: RefSeq, a predicted model, not a curated record